This 233-nucleotide long non-coding RNA is filed under the name Gallus gallus (chicken). The record is from RNAcentral. Lineage: Eukaryota; Metazoa; Chordata; Aves; Galliformes; Phasianidae.
CUCACAUCCCCCUCAGCACCAAACAGUUCCAUGUAUGUGCACACAAGGACAAGACAGUGGAGGGAAAAAGUGGGACACUGAGCCUGGAAGGCUAAAAGAGUCCGCUGGCAACAUGAGUGUGAAAAUCACGAAGAGAGAAAAGGAUGCUCUUAAACUCCUGUUCUUUGCCACACAGUUCAAGGUUAUCCUGCCAAAGGAAAGAAAGGAAUACAUUUAUCCACUUAACAGCUGGC